RNAcentral lists this small RNA (127 nucleotides) under Marmota monax (woodchuck). Lineage: Eukaryota; Metazoa; Chordata; Mammalia; Rodentia; Sciuridae. The record is from RNAcentral.
GCUGAGUGUGGUGGCGCAGGCCUGUAAUCCCAACAACUCAGGAGGCUGAGGCAGGAGGAUCACAAGUUGAAAGCCAGCCUCAGCAUAUCAGCGAGGCACUGAACAACUUAGCGAGAGCCUGUCUCAA